This is a long non-coding RNA of Anas platyrhynchos (mallard), 2509 nucleotides long. RefSeq lists it as uncharacterized. The record is from RefSeq and is a predicted model, not a curated record. Lineage: Eukaryota; Metazoa; Chordata; Aves; Anseriformes; Anatidae.
AUAAAAGCACGGGACUCCCACACAAAAUGGCGACCACAGCACGCAGCUGCCUCAAGGUAACAGGAGACCAACGCUGGGGCGACCUAGACAAAGGCCCAGGCAGCACGGCCUUGUCCAACACCCCAACCCUGACACAGCCCCAGCCCUUACCUCAGCAGCAGCAGAGCCCCCCAACACCGACCGCUCAAGAACCGGGACAGCCAGCAGGAGGCACCGCCGAGCUCCGCCCGAGGAGCAGCACGCUCAGUUCCAGCACAUGGCGGUGCCCGGAGGGGCCGUGAGGGGCUGCGCAGGGGGCAGCUCCGAGCUGGGCUUCGGGAACCUGCAACCGCGUCCGAGAGGUUUCUCAAAGGUAACAGAAUCCUGCUCCUUCUCCACCAUAAGGUCAUAGCUGCAAGGAACAGUUUCUGUGUAUGUGGGUAACCAGAAAGCUGAUGUCCCAUUAUGGUCAGUGACUUCAAAACCAUUCGGCAAACAUCCCUUGGCCAGUGUUUUUGAACUUCAGGCAUUGCUCUUUUUGGAGUCUGCAGGAAGAUGCAGACACUUCUGUCACAGAGGAUUCCAUUUUAGGUGCCUGAAGUAGACAUUCUGAUUCUGAUACCUGGGCCUUUAUAAUGUAUUGCGGCAUGGCAUCAGGCUGAAAGAUGGCUAGAGAAUACCACUUAUUGCAGUGCUGUCUUUCUAUUGGGUGUCUUUGCUCAUUGCUUCCUCAUCUCCUUCCCAAACUACCAAAAUGCUGGAUAGUUGGAAGGUGAAGUUCACUUGCCAUUUCCUUGGUUGGGAUGAUAGCUCUACAAAAGUGUAAAAUAAAGUUUGGCACAAUAAUAAGAAAAAGGAACAGUGCACAAUGAUAUUAUGUGCAAGCCUGUGGACAGAAAACAAAAUUGAUGAAUUUUCAAGGGCACUAGCCAUUUUUUUCCCUCCUCAAUCUGUCAGGAAAAAGUGCAACAGUAUUAGAGCUGUCAAGGAAUGGCCAGGCAAACAAGGAGAUCACUCAUCAGUGUCAGUGACAAGAUUCUGAAUUUGAUGGCAAAGCAACAGGACGAAUAAGGAUGACUUGAUAAUGGAAGUGCAUAAAUAGCACUUCAGGCAAUCAGAAAAGCACAUGGGAAUGACAAUGAGCUGCUGUCAGUAUACCUCCUCCGUGUUGAUGAGAGGGAGGAAGACCUGAAGGCUCAUAAUGACAAGCUUGAGAAGUGUUCCAGGCUAUGAGCUGCGCAGAAUCAAAUCCCCUGGAAAUAUGAAGGCCACAAAAUCGUCUUGAUGGUACCUACAUGCUUAAAAAGAAACAAACAAAAAACCUCAGUAUUUGGAGCAGUUCCUGGAAGGAGAAAACACAUGGACCCUAGGGCACCAAACUGGCAGCAGUGUAGAUGUCAAGGUUCAGCUAAUCUUUUGAAUUCUUGGCGCAAAUUCACUGGCUUAUACAGACAAUACCUUUAAUGUUUAUCUUGGAUACAGUACUUAUAAAUGUAAUCAUUUUAGCAUUAGAAAAUUUUCCUAAGUGAAGAGGUUCUGUGAUUUUGAUUUAAAGGAAUCAAUUUAAAGAUCUUGUAUGGACUGUUUAGCUAAAAAAAAAAAUGAUGCUGUCCUGUCAGAAUUAAAACCAACAGAAUAUUUUUCAAAGAAGUCAUGGUAUUUUCUUUAGGUUAUUAUAAUAUUGAACUGGCAUAUAGAAAAUAAGUUUGAAGAGGUGUUUUUUCAUCUGGUUUGGCCCAAUCUGACGAAAGUCCUCCAGUCCAGAGCAGGGACUUGAAUAUUUUUUUGCUGUGGAAGAAGCUAAUCCACACAAGACUAUACCUGCAUGUACCUAAACUGGACCACAACACCAAGAUCUGCGUUGCAGUUGGCAAUAUUGGAGCAUUGAGGCUGAACAAGUGAAUCAUAGCCUAGGAGACUGCAGGAAAAACUGUAGUUUAUUGAAGUGUUUAAGUACUUGUUGUCAACACAUUUCAUAAGUUUCUGAGAAGAAUUAUUCUUGAAUGGAAAGCCACACCCGGUACAUAAAUCUUAGUGUAAGCUCAACACUCCUGUAAUUCCUUGUAACUGCAGGAGGCAUGGCUCUGUUAACUUGAGAUCUUUCUGUCAUAGUGACCAUGUAAUGAUAACAUUUAACUGCAGAUAGUAGAUCAUUAUAUGCUAUUACAUUUUUGCAAUGUAUCACUCUAAUACUUUUGAUACAAGUGCUGGGAUUCAAGGUUUUAAUCCUAGAGCCAUGUGUAAUUUUGGAGGUGACCUUUGCUGUGACAGUAGCGUGGCAAGUGUUUUUGCAAGUAGACAUCCCUGAUAAGGAAGAGCUGAUGCUUCAAGGAAAUGUGCAAGGGAGAGUGGUGACAAACUAAAACCAACCACUGCAUUUCAUUCUGAGUUCAAGUGCAUUUGUUUUAACUUUUGAAUUGUGUUAUGUGGUCUUGAAUGUGGAGUCUGUUGAACAGUGUAGGCAUGAAAUGUUUUAUGUACCAAUUCACGGUACAGAAAAAUAAAAAAGUUGGAAUGAAGAAGACUGCUG